Molecule: transfer RNA, 73 nt
Filed under: Ignavibacteriota bacterium
Lineage: Bacteria; Pseudomonadati; Ignavibacteriota
Description: Ignavibacteriae bacterium (activated sludge metagenome) tRNA-Thr
Rfam family: tRNA
About the family: Transfer RNA (tRNA) molecules are approximately 80 nucleotides in length.
Source: RNAcentral
GCCAACUUAGCUCAGUUGGUAGAGCAAUUCAUUCGUAAUGAAUAGGUCGGGGGUUCGACUCCCCCAGUUGGCU